GAUGAAGAACGUAGCGAAGUGCGAUAAGUAGUGUGAAUUGCAGAAUUUCGUGAAUCAUCGAAUCUUUGAACGCAAAUUGCACUCUCCGGUUUUCCGGGAGAGUAUGCCUGUUUGAGGGUCAGCCUAAAUAAAUUCGGCUUCGUUGCUGUUGUUUUCGCGGUAACGUUUUUAGUCGGGAUUUGGGUCAUCUUAAACCGAAAGGUUUUUAAGCGACUUAAAAUUUUUUUACGAUCCCACGAACGUUUCUAAGUACUUCUUACACGUUCAAGGUAUCGAAAACCCCUAUUAGGCGUGGCCGUCGUAUCGGAUCGCGUCCAUAAUAUUUAUGCUUUAACUGACCUCAGACAGGUAAGAAUACCCGCUGAACUUAAGCAUAUCAAUAAGCGGAGGA
RNAcentral lists this unclassified non-coding RNA (391 nucleotides) under soil metagenome. RNAcentral describes it as "partial contains 5.8S ribosomal RNA, internal transcribed spacer 2, and large subunit ribosomal RNA". The stretch from base 1 to 121 matches the Rfam family "5.8S ribosomal RNA", at positions 35 to 154 of the family's 154-position model. The record is from RNAcentral.